This 427-nucleotide ribosomal RNA is filed under the name Bos taurus (domestic cattle). RNAcentral describes it as "similar to 16S ribosomal RNA". The stretch from base 74 to 192 matches the Rfam family "Bacterial large subunit ribosomal RNA", at positions 714 to 852 of the family's 2925-position model. Lineage: Eukaryota; Metazoa; Chordata; Mammalia; Artiodactyla; Bovidae. The record is from RNAcentral.
GAUUACCCCUUGUACCUUUUGCAUAAUGAAUUAACUAGUAUAAGACUUAACAAAAUGAAUUUUAGCUAAGCAGCCCGAAACCAGACGAGCUACUCACAAACAGUUUACCAAGAACUAACUCAUCUAUGUGGCAAAAUAGUGAGAAGAUUUGUAAGUAGAGGUGACAUGCCUAACGAGCCUGGUGAUAGCUGGUUGUCCAGAAAAUGAAUCUAAGUUCAGCUUUAAAGAUACCAAAAAAUUCAAAUAAAACCCACUGUAGCUUUAAAAGUUCAAGUCUAACAAGGUACAGCCUUUUUAGAAACGGAUACAACCUUGACUAGAGAGUAACAAUUUAAACACUACCAUAGUAGGCCUAAAAGCAGCAUCAAUUANGAAAGCGUUAAGCUCAAACAACAAAAACUUACAUAGAUUCCAACACAAAUGAUUA